GACGAACGCUGGCGGCGUGCCUAAUACAUGCAAGUCGAACGCAGUGGGGACGGGUGAGUAACACGUGGGUAACCUCCCAUCAGAGGGGAUAACACUUGGAAACAGGUGCUAAACCGAUAGAGAUGGAUGGACCAGCGGUGCAUUAGCUCGUUGGUGAGGUAACUGCUCACCAAGGCCACGAUGCAUAGACGACCUGAGAGGGUGAUCAUGCACAAUGGGACUGAGACACGGCCCAUACUCCUACGUGAGGCAGCCGUAGGGAAUCUUCUGCAAUGGACGAAAGUCUGGCCGAGCAACGCCGCGUGAUGGAAGAAGGUUUUCGGAUCGUAAAACGCUGUUGUUAGAGAAGCGGUAUCUAACCAGAAAGCCACGGCUAACUACGUGCCAGCAGCCGCGGUAAUUC
This 403-nucleotide ribosomal RNA is filed under the name uncultured bacterium. RNAcentral's name for it is "partial 16S ribosomal RNA". It matches the Rfam family "Bacterial small subunit ribosomal RNA", at positions 28 to 526 of the family's 1533-position model. The record is from RNAcentral.